CCAAUCUUUAGCGGGCCUUGGGCUUGUCCAUGGUCUCGCGAAACUCUGUAUUUAAAACCCACUCAUGUAAUUGAAUCAUUUUAUAUUAUCAUAUAAAUAAAGA
Molecule: unclassified non-coding RNA, 103 nt
Filed under: uncultured fungus
Lineage: Eukaryota; Fungi
Description: sequence contains ITS1
Source: RNAcentral